RNAcentral lists this unclassified non-coding RNA (309 nucleotides) under plant metagenome. RNAcentral's name for it is "partial contains 5.8S ribosomal RNA, internal transcribed spacer 2, and large subunit ribosomal RNA". The stretch from base 1 to 105 matches the Rfam family "5.8S ribosomal RNA", at positions 50 to 154 of the family's 154-position model. The record is from RNAcentral.
GAAAUGUGAUAAGUAGUGUGAAUUGCAGAAUUCAGUGAAUCAUCGAAUCUUUGAACGCACAUUGCGCCCCUUGGUAUUCCAUGGGGCAUGUCUGUUCGAGCGUCAUUUGUACCCUCAAGCUCUGCUUGGUGUUGGGUGUUUGUCCCGUCUCCGCGCGUGGACUCGCCCCAAAGUGAUUGGCAGCCGGCGUACUGGUCCCGGAGCGCAGCACAUGUCGCGCAAACGAGUGCCUUGGUACGGCGGCGUCCAUAAGCCCCUCUCUCACGCUCUUGACCUCGGAUCAGGUAGGGAUACCCGCUGAACUUAAGC